AGGGUUUCUCUCGUUUCUGUUUUGGAACUAGGGUUUUCACCAUCUUUUUGGUUGAAAGUUUUGGUGUCCAAGUGACUAUUUGCACUGGUUUGUCUAAGUGAUUUUUUUCACUUGGCGGCUAAGAUGUCGGACUACCCUGUGCUUGAUAAUCGUCCAAUUAAUAAAUGGAAAGUAGCAGAAUUAAGGGAUGAGCUUAAGAGGAGGAACUUAACGACAAAAGGUUUGAAGGAUGAUCUGGUUAGGCGAUUAAAUGAAGCUAUCUGCAUAGAAAUGGAAGCUGCUGCAGUUAAAGAGAGUAAGGAUGAUGAUCGUGACAUUGAUCCUGCCAGUGGUCUUGAAGAUACUGAACCCGAGCCUGAUCCUGUUAAAUUGGUUGAUGAUGUUCUGGAGCAUCCCCCAAUUGAAGUUACUCAUGGUUCUGAACAUAUUACUGAUGCUACAUGUGGUCUUGAAGAAGCUCAACCAAAUAGUAAUCCUGAUAUAUUGGUUGAUAACGUUCAGAAGCAAAACCAAGAUGAAUUUAACAGUAUUGACAGUGAUGUUGCUAGGGCCACCACCAAGAAUUGUCUUGUUGGAAUAGACCAGAACAAAGUCAUGGAUGAGGUUGCAACUGGAGGUAAUGAUGAUGUUCUGAAGCAUCACCAAAAUGAAGUUAACGAAAUUGAUGGUGAUGCCAGUGCUAGCACCAAGAAUGCUCUUGUUGAAAUAGACCAGAAUAAAGUCUUGGAUGAGGUUGCAACUGGAGAUACUGCUGCUGGAGAAUCAGACCAUUUGGAGGCACCGGUUGGUAGCACUAGUGUUAUAAAUGAGAUUGCAUCUAAUAAGGAACACAAGGUUAUUGAUUCUUCUCAGGAUGAUUAUGUUGCUGAUGGGGUAUCUGAAGUCUGGGAUGGUUCUAUUCCAGUCAGUAGCACUAGACAGGAUGUUGAGGAUAUGAAAAUUUCAUCUUAUGAGGGAGUGCUUGAGGACAACCUUAGGGGACAAGAAAAUGAUGUGGAGGUAACCCCAGUAACAUCAGAGGAAGCCUUGAAAAACCACAGCAUUAAGUUGGAUAAUGAGGGUCUGAAACUCUCAGACAUGGAUGCUGAGCCAGAUAUGUCCAAUCCAGCCACUCAGGUAUAUGAGGUCAACCCUAAUUUAGGGUCUCAAGUAAAAUCUGACUCAUUUUCUACUGAUACUUUGACCAUUAAUGAAAAUAAAGAUUUAAAUGAUAAUUUGAAUGCUGAUAAUGUCAAAUUAGAAACUGAAGUUGUUAGGCAAGAGAUGGAGCUGCAGUCAUCCAGCAAAGACCUAUCAGGUGUUGGUAGCUCUCAUCCAUUGGAUGGUCAGAUGCCACAUGAGAUGCAGGGUCUUGUUGGAGAAACUGAUGAUGACAAAUCUUCAGAUGUGAAAUUUAGCAUGAAAAAUGACAAUGCAGAUCAGGUUUCUGUUGACGUUUCCAAGGUAGAGCAUGAUUUCGAGAGUAAGACUCCAAAUAAUAGUGAGCAACCCGAUAUACAGUUUGAAAAAGCUAGAACUUUAGGUGAUGUUGAAGAGCCUAGUUUGUCACCCAUGAAAAUUGAGGCAUCUGCGGAAGAUACACACGAUCUUGCUGUUUCUGGUGAUGAUAGAAAAGAUUUUAGCAAGAUAGCCGAUGUAGUGGAUGGUGAGAAUAUGGAAAAGAUUAACUUGGAUCAGUCUUCUGCUGAUGAUUCCAUGGAGGAGGAUGUAGUAGAGACAAAACAUGUGGAUUUUGAUCAUAUUUCUAAGAAAGAGAAUGACAAGACUGAUGAGUUUAUUACGGGAAUGACAGAAGAGCCCAAAGUUCGACCAAGUGGUUCUUCUGAUGCAAUGCAGCUAGACAUUCCUUCUGAGAAGGUUGCGUCUCCUCAAGAAACUAAAGAUAAGUCUCUUGCUUUGUCAGAGAAGAGAAAGUUUCAAGAUGAAGCAGGAGGUGGGAGUAAAGAGCCUGCAAAAAGGCAGCGUAGAUGGAACACUGAGAAGACUGCUGAACCCCAAAAUUCUAGUAUUGCUUUAACAAAGAAGGUUGUUCAGCCCACUCCUAUCAAACCCAUCCUUGGCAGGACUAACUCUACAGUUGGUGGGGAUUCACCCAAGGAGCGCUUUGUACCAAAGUCUUCAAAAACAGCCACUACUUCUCUCAAAAUUGAGAAUUUCUUGCGGCCUUUUACGCUGAAAGCUGUGCAAGAGCUCCUUGCAAGGACUGGUGAAGUCUGCAGUUUCUGGAUGGACCAGAUAAAGACCCAUUGCUAUGUCACGUAUUCUUCGGUAGAAGAAGCCACAGAGACCAGAAACGCGGUGUACAAUCUCCAAUGGCCACCAAAUGGUGGUCGUCUCCUGGUUGCAGAUUUUGUUGAUCCUCAACAGGUGCAAACCAAGAUAGAGGGUCGGGAACCUGCUUCUCCACCGAAAGUUACCAGUCCUGCUGUGCCUGCUUCAUCCUUUGUUCAAACACCACCUGCUCAGCAGCAGGGUCGCAAACAACAAGCUGAGUUGGAACAUUCACUCACACGCCAGCCACCUCCUGCUCCUCCUAGUGCUCCUCCAACAAAAGAGAUGCUGCCUUCACCUGUUGCUGAUAAAAAUGAUCCCCCUAUUGUUACUUUGGAUGACCUCUUCAGAAAGACCAAAGCCACUCCCCGUAUCUAUUAUUUACCGCUGACAGAUGAAGAAGUUGCUAAAAAGCUUGCCAUUAGGGGAAAUGCUAAGCCUUGAGAUAUUAGGUAAAUAAAGGGGCAUGUUAGAUGGAUCUGUAGAGUGGUGUUCUAGUGUAAUGCUGAAAACUGCAAGUUUGCCCGCAUGAAGAAGUUGCAGUCUAAUUUGUAGGCGAGUAGUGAGUUUCUUGAGGCUCGUUGAGACUUUCCUUUCUUUUCUAUUUUUGGUUUGUUACUGUUUGCAGACUUUGGUUGCUACUAGGUGCAAGUCUUAACUGUAUUUUGCUUUGGUUUGAAG
This 2952-nucleotide unclassified non-coding RNA is filed under the name Hevea brasiliensis (rubber tree). The record is from RNAcentral. Lineage: Eukaryota; Viridiplantae; Streptophyta; Magnoliopsida; Malpighiales; Euphorbiaceae.